RNAcentral lists this microRNA precursor (211 nucleotides) under Oryza glumipatula. RNAcentral's name for it is "MIR812 microRNA precursor family". It matches the Rfam family "MIR812 microRNA precursor family". The record is from Rfam by way of RNAcentral. Lineage: Eukaryota; Viridiplantae; Streptophyta; Magnoliopsida; Poales; Poaceae.
UUUAAGUGUACUUGUGGUUUUUUAUCCAACAUUUAAUCGUCCGUCUUAUUUAAAAUUAUUUGAAAUUCUUUUAUGAUUAGUAUUUUUAUUAUUAUUAGAUGAUAAAAGAUAAAUAUUGAUUUAUGCGUGACUUUUUUAAAAAAAAUUAUAAAUUUUUCAAAUAAGAUGGACAAUCAAACUUUUAAUAUAAAAAUACACAACUACACUUAAU